AGCAAGGUCAGCUAAAGUUAAGCUUUUGGGCCCAUACCCCCAAAUAUGUUGGUUAAUUCCUUCCCUUGCUA
RNAcentral lists this transfer RNA (71 nucleotides) under Hemiodopsis gracilis (slender hemiodus). RNAcentral describes it as "tRNA-Met". The record is from RNAcentral. Lineage: Eukaryota; Metazoa; Chordata; Actinopteri; Characiformes; Hemiodontidae.